RNAcentral lists this ribosomal RNA (253 nucleotides) under uncultured bacterium. RNAcentral's name for it is "partial 16S ribosomal RNA". It matches the Rfam family "Bacterial small subunit ribosomal RNA", at positions 524 to 776 of the family's 1533-position model. The record is from RNAcentral.
UACGUAGGUGGCACGCGUUGUCCGGAUUUACUAGGCGUAAAGAGCGCGCAGGCGGCUGGUCAAGUCCGAUGUGAAAUCUCCCGGCUUAACUGGGAAACUGCAUCGGAAACUGAUCGGCUUGAAGGUGGGAGAGGGUAGUGGAAUUCCCGGUGUAGUGGUGAAAUGCGUAGAUAUCGGGAGGAACACCAGUGGCGAAGGCGACUACCUGGCCCAUUCUUGACGCUGAGGCGCGAAAGCUAGGGGAGCGAACGGG